Molecule: ribosomal RNA, 253 nt
Filed under: uncultured bacterium
Lineage: Bacteria
Description: partial 16S ribosomal RNA
Rfam family: Bacterial small subunit ribosomal RNA
Source: RNAcentral
UACGUAGGUGGCAAGCGUUGUCCGGAAUUAUUGGGCGUAAAGCGCGCGCAGGUGGUUCCUUAAGUCUGAUGUGAAAGCCCACGGCUCAACCGUGGAGGGUCAUUGGAAACUGGGGAACUUGAGUGCAGAAGAGGAAAGUGGAAUUCCAAGUGUAGCGGUGAAAUGCGUAGAGAUUUGGAGGAACACCAGUGGCGAAGGCGACUUUCUGGUCUGUAACUGACACUGAGGCGCGGAAGCGUGGGGAGCAAACAGG